CAGUAGCCGCGGGAAUACGUAGGUGGCAAGCGUUGUCCGGAAUUAUUGGGCGUAAAGGGCUCGCGGGCGGUUUCUUAAGUCUGAUGUGAAAGCCCCCGGCUCAACCGGGGAGGGUCAUUGGAAACUGGGAAACUUGAGUGCAGAAGAGGAGAGUGGAAUUCCACGUGUAGCGGUGAAAUGCGUAGAGAUGUGGAGGAACACCAGUGGCGAAGGCGACUCUCUGGCCUGUAACUGACGCUGAGGAGCGAAAGCGUGGGGAGCGAACAGGAUUAGAUACCCGUGUAGUCCCUGUCUCUUAUAC
RNAcentral lists this ribosomal RNA (301 nucleotides) under uncultured bacterium. RNAcentral's name for it is "partial 16S ribosomal RNA". It matches the Rfam family "Bacterial small subunit ribosomal RNA", at positions 509 to 807 of the family's 1533-position model. The record is from RNAcentral.